This 480-nucleotide ribosomal RNA is filed under the name uncultured bacterium. RNAcentral describes it as "partial 16S ribosomal RNA". It matches the Rfam family "Bacterial small subunit ribosomal RNA", at positions 30 to 506 of the family's 1533-position model. The record is from RNAcentral.
AUUGAACGCUGGCGGCAUGCUUUACACAUGCAAGUCGAACGGUAACAGGCCGCAAGGUGCUGACGAGUGGCGAACGGGUGAGUAAUGCAUCGGAACGUGCCCAGUCGUGGGGGGUAACUACUCGAAAGAGUAGCUAAUACCGCAUACGAUCAAUGGAUGAAAGCGGGGGACCGUAAGGCCUCGCGCGAUUGGAGCGGCCGAUGUCAGAUUAGGUAGUUGGUGGGGUAAAGGCUCACCAAGCCAACGAUCUGUAGCUGGUCUGAGAGGACAACCAGCCACACUGGGACUGAGACACGGCCCAGACUCCUACGGGAGGCAGCAGUGGGGAAUUUUGGACAAUGGGCGCAAGCCUGAUCCAGCAAUGCCGCGUGCAGGAAGAAGGCCUUCGGGUUGUAAACUGCUUUGUACGGAACGAAACGGCUCUGGUUAAUACCCGGGGCUAAUGACGGUACCGUAAGAAUAAGCACCGGCUAACUACGU